GGAUGUGGGGGCGAGCCGGCUGCAACAUCUGUCACCCCAUUGAUGGCCAGGGUCGAUUCGGCUGAUCUGGCUGGCUAGGCAGAUGUCCCCUUCCUCCCUCACCGUUCCGUGUGUGUCCCUCCUGAAGCUGUGUGCUCGGUCGAAGAGGAUGACCUUCCCCGCCAGAGGAGGACCGUUGUUUGGUCAAGGGUACACGAGUAGCUGUGAUCGCCCGCUAGAACCUCCAAACAAGCUCUCAAGGUCCAAGGUCACAGCAGGAAGUGUCAGAGCCAGCGUAUAAAUCCAGGUAGCCU
Molecule: small nuclear RNA, 293 nt
Filed under: Dasypus novemcinctus (nine-banded armadillo)
Lineage: Eukaryota; Metazoa; Chordata; Mammalia; Cingulata; Dasypodidae
Description: 7SK RNA (ENSDNOG00000036367.1)
Rfam family: 7SK RNA
About the family: 7SK was discovered as an abundant small nuclear RNA in the mid-70s but a possible function has only recently been suggested.
Source: RNAcentral